UUUAGAUUCAACGUAGCCAUGGAGUUGAAAAAUGAUCUUGUUUUAAUCAAAUGUUGCCAUGGAGCUGAUUCAGAGAGAGCUUGUGAAAAUGAUCAUCUGAUUAUGUAAAAUUAGAAGGAGAUGAAAAAUGUAAAAGUUGAAUUAAGUUGCCUCCAAGUUUUAAUCAUCUGAUUUGGUUAAUUUUUGUUUCCCUCCAAGUUUUGAUACUCAAUGUGAAAAUGUGAAAAUGUUAAAAUGAAACAAAAAUUUGGGGAAAAACUCACCAAAGCAAACUCUGCUUUUGGUUCGUGAACGUCGUCAGCUCAAUCUCCGUCUUCCUCUUCCUCCAAUUUCUGACCGCCGCUUCUCCGUCACUACCGCCGUCGCCGCUUCUCCGUCACUACCGCCGUCGCCGCUUCUCCGUCAUAUGUGUUGUCUGUAACGGAGACCAAAACCCAAGCUCUCUUCCAACUUUAUAAAAAUCAAAACCCUGAAGUGGAAUUAAUCG
This 487-nucleotide long non-coding RNA is filed under the name Arabidopsis lyrata. RNAcentral's name for it is "long non-coding RNA (ALYR_LNC001705)". Lineage: Eukaryota; Viridiplantae; Streptophyta; Magnoliopsida; Brassicales; Brassicaceae. The record is from RNAcentral.